UUGGGUGACCAGCGGAGGGAUCAUUACCGAGUUUACAACUCCCAAACCCAAUGUGAACCAUACCAAACUGUUGCCUCGGCGGGGUCACGCCCCGGGUGCGUCGCAGCCCCGGAACCAGGCGCCCGCCGGAGGGACCAACCAAACUCUUUACUGUAGUCCCCUCGCGGACGUUAUUUCUUACAGCUCUGAGCAAAAAAUUCAAAAUGAAUCAAAACUUUCAACAACGGAUCUCUUGGUUCUGGCAUCGAUGAAGAACGCAGCGAAAUGCGAUAAGUAAUGUGAAUUGCAGAAUUCAGUGAAUCAUCGAAUCUUUGAACGCACAUUGCGCCCGCCAGUAUUCUGGCGGGCAUGCCUGUCCGAGCGUCAUUUCAACCCUCGAACCCCUCCGGGGGGUCGGCGUUGGGGAUCGGGAACCCCUCAGACGGGAUCCCGGCCCCGAAAUACAGUGGCGGUCUCGCCGCAGCCUCUCCUGCGCAGUAGUUUGCACAACUCGCACCGGGAGCGCGGCGCGUCCACGUCCGUAAAACACCCAACUUUCUGAAAUGUUGACCUCGGAUCAGGUAGGAAUACCCGCUGAACUUAAGCAUAUCAAUAAAG
Molecule: ribosomal RNA, 597 nt
Filed under: Trichoderma erinaceum
Lineage: Eukaryota; Fungi; Ascomycota; Sordariomycetes; Hypocreales; Hypocreaceae
Description: eukaryotic LSU rRNA
Rfam family: 5.8S ribosomal RNA (bases 213-366)
Source: RNAcentral